GAUGAACGCUGGCGGCGUGCCUAACACAUGCAAGUCGAGCGAUUUACUUCGGUAAAGAGCGGCGGACGGGAGAGUAACGCGUGGGUAACCUGCCCUGUACACACGGAUAACAUACCGAAAGGUAUGCUAAUACGAGGUAAUAUGCUUUUAUCGCAUGGUAGAAGUAUCAAAGCUUUUGCGGUACAGGAUGGACCCGCGGCUGAUUAGCUAGUUGGUGAGGUAACGGGUCACCAAGGCGACGAUCAGUAGCCGCGCUGAGAGGGUGAUCGGCCACAUUGGAACUGGGACACGGUCCAAACUCCUACGCGAGGCAGCAGUGGGGAAUAUUGCACAAUGGGCGAAAGCCUGAUGCAGCAACGCCGCGUGAGCGAUGAAGGCCGUCGGGUCGUAAAGCUCUGUCCUCAAGGAAGAUAAUGACGGUACUUGAGGAGGAAGCCCCGGCUAACUACGUG
This 452-nucleotide ribosomal RNA is filed under the name uncultured bacterium. RNAcentral describes it as "partial 16S ribosomal RNA". It matches the Rfam family "Bacterial small subunit ribosomal RNA", at positions 28 to 507 of the family's 1533-position model. The record is from RNAcentral.